RNAcentral lists this ribosomal RNA (440 nucleotides) under uncultured bacterium. RNAcentral's name for it is "partial 16S ribosomal RNA". It matches the Rfam family "Bacterial small subunit ribosomal RNA", at positions 338 to 795 of the family's 1533-position model. The record is from RNAcentral.
CCUACGGGUGGCAGCAGUGGGGGAUAUUGCACAAUGGGGGAAACCCUGAUGCAGCGACGCCGCGUGGGUGAAGAAGCGCCUCGGCGCGUAAAGCCCUGUCAGCAGGGAAGAAAAUGACGGUACCUGAAGAAGAAGCCCCGGCUAACUACGUGCCAGCAGCCGCGGUAAUACGUAGGGGGCAAGCGUUAUCCGGAUUUACUGGGUGUAAAGGGGGCGCAGACGGCGAUGCAAGCCAGGAGUGAAAGCCCGGGGCCCAACCCCGGGACUGCACUUGGAACUGCGUGGCUAGAGUGCAGGAGGGGCAGGCGGAAUUCGUGGUGUAGCGGUGAAAUGCGUAGAUAUCAGGAGGAACACCGGUGGCGAAGGCAGCCUGCUGGACUGCAACUGACGUUGAGGCCCGAAAGCGUGGGGAGCAAACAGGAUUAGAUACCCCAGUAGUC